GUCCCUCUGUGGAAGAUGCUCUCAGGCCAGAGAGACUUUCGGAUGAUUUCUUGCAGCCGAGUGAAAUGCUGGCGCCACCCAGGAGAUGGUGCUAUUGAACCGAAGAAUCAGCACAGCCCUGACCCAGAAGCAUCUCUAUGCAGCCCUCCCUGUUUUCCAUUCGUGUUGCAUAUUAUUUUUUAGGGUCUUCAUUUUCUUUUAGAAAAAGGAUGUGUCCGUGUUGAACCUGGAAUAUAUUCCAGUAUGAUCUGUAAUGCAAUUUUCGGACAGACAAUCCUACGUCCUCAAUUGAAAUGACAUUAGCACCUGACGGAAAUGUUUUUUCCUUGAAGUGCCUGGCUAAAAAGAAAGUAAAGCCGAGGCAGGGAACGGCUUCAGAGCUAAUUGCCCUAAUCCAAGCAACUGCAUGAGAAGCGCUGUGCCAAAGCCGAGCGCUUGCCGGGUGGCCUGCUUUGCCGCCGCAAGCUGCUGGCUGCGCGGGGGUGGCCAGCAGCUGGACUGCUCGCCAGGCUUCGCAGAAACGUGGUGCUCAUAGGCUUCCUCCGGCCACCCUGCGAGACUGCCCGUCCCCACAUAAGCAUUUCUCGGAAAGCUCUGGUGUCCAGGUCGCAGUCAGGCUGUUGCAGAGUGUCUGUUGGGAAGACCUGGAUAUGCAACUGGGCAGCCUGUUACAGACAAAGCUCUGACUGAAACAGGCAUCUGACUGCAGCAUGAAGCGUAAGCAGUUGAGAAAAGGUGAUAUUCUGCUCCAUUCAUCUCUGCUCUUGUGUUCAUCUUCUCCUACUCAUAUAGUACGGAAUCUCCCAAGUGAAGGAGGGAGUCUUCGCACACAUCAGGAGAGAACCAGCACUAUGUAACCAGGCAGCUGUAAACCUUCAGCUGCAGUCCACUGACAGGAAUCUAUAGACCAUCAGUUUGCGAAUCCUCUGCUUUAGACCUCUAAACGAUUCAGCAUUUACUCCGUCUGAUGACGCAACGAAUCUGGGAGUGAAGAACUUCUUAGAGCUGAUUGGAAAUGGCAUUGCAGAGCUGAAACUUAACUGGAGGAAAUAUAUCUCCUGAAGAAGAAAAUAUAAUGCACUUUAAGGAUCUGACUUCUGGUGAAAAAUUCAAGCCUAGAGAAAACUUGUCCACUUUGUUAGGAAGAAUGGGUUGGACAAUUUUCUUCAGUUCCAAAGGAUAUCUGAAUGCCAUGCUGAGCUUAAUCUCUGCAGCAUGCUCUGUGCUUCUCAUCUCUUCCU
Long non-coding RNA from Dromaius novaehollandiae (emu), 1241 nucleotides. RefSeq lists it as uncharacterized. The transcript has 5 exons. The record is from RefSeq and is a predicted model, not a curated record. NCBI's taxonomy places the organism in Eukaryota, Metazoa, Chordata, Aves, Casuariiformes, Dromaiidae.